RNAcentral lists this transfer RNA (63 nucleotides) under Lucanus kanoi kanoi. RNAcentral describes it as "tRNA-Ile". The record is from RNAcentral. RNAcentral also lists the same sequence under 1 other name. Lineage: Eukaryota; Metazoa; Arthropoda; Insecta; Coleoptera; Lucanidae.
UAUAAAGUGCCUGAUAAAAGGGUUACUUUGAUAGAGUAAACUAUGUGGCCUUCACCUUUAUUA